CUCUGGGAAAAAAAAUAUUAAUGUAUGAGAUAGUGUGGACCACACAGGAAAAAAUUAAGUGCUACAUUGCCUUUUAUAAGAAUGUUGUUCAGUGGUGUUGCGAUGACUCAAUUUAAGCUAAGUGCCUUUGAAAUGAUGUGGCGUGAUACAUGCCUCAGAAUGUGCACUCCCUAAAAGCCCUCACAUGGAACAGGAGAAAGAAGGACUCUAAGAGGCCCGUGUUUGAUCUUUGAUGGGCUGGGUGAGCCAUUCGUUUGUACACAUAUGUCCUUUUCUUUUAUCGAGAAAGACACAUAUGCCAAAACACAGCAUUUAUUAGUUUCAUUUUAAUAAACGAUUGUUGGAAUAGAACGUAUAUAUUGUUAAUCUGUUUUCCAGUGAUCCUCUGUCAUUAAAUGGCAUCUCCAUUCAUCCAGAUGCUAGUCUGAAAUCUGAGAAUCAGUUAUUCAAUCCAUCAUCAACUCUUAGAGACUUUUUUCUUCAAAAUACAUGUUAAACCUGUCUACUUUUCUUUAUGUCCCCCACUGGCAUUGUGGUCCACCUCUUUUAUUUCUUACGUGGACUACUGCAGUGGCCCUAAAUGGUCCCGCUUCCAAUUUUGCUCCCAUUCUAAUCCAUUCUCCACACAGAAGCCAGACUUAGCUUUCUUCAAACGCCUCACCAUGGUGUCUAUGGCUUAGCAUAAUCAGCUUCUGGCCUUUUCUUCCCAAUAUUCAGAAAUGCUAUUCUCUCUCCAUCUCCCACUAAAUUUCA
This 753-nucleotide long non-coding RNA is filed under the name Pan troglodytes (chimpanzee). RNAcentral's name for it is "long non-coding RNA NONPTRT004461". Lineage: Eukaryota; Metazoa; Chordata; Mammalia; Primates; Hominidae. The record is from RNAcentral.